AAGGCCUCCCAGGAAGGGAUCAGCUAUAAAAAGGACCCCAGAGAACUUUGCCUUGAAGAAGAGCAGUGCCUGUCCCAGGGUAGAGGAGACACAGGUGCUCCCAGGAUCCUCCUACAGUGCCACCUCUGGAAAUCCCUGUUCUCUGAUCAAACAGAGACCACUGAGGGGGUGAAAAGGAGACAGACAGAGAGCUGCUGCUUUUUACAAUAAACUCUGUAUUGUGCACAUGAAGACCUGGAGAUGUGCCGACUUCCUGUCCCCAAAGCCAAUCUUCCCCGCCAAGGCGACUGAGGAUUUCAAGGGCUCAGAGUUACUGCAGGAAUCCAGGUGAGGAAACUGAGGCUCGUUACUGACUUGCCCAAGAUUCCACAGUGGAAGAGCCUGGACGUGAACUGCGUCUCCAGGUCUCGAACCAUUUCCUGUCCUGGUCCCAGGACCUAGGUGGGGCCGCCGCGCGGUCAGACAGAGCCGGCCCGCCUGGGACCCCUUGGCUGCCCUCGCCCCCCGGCCCCGCCCCCCGCAC
This 523-nucleotide long non-coding RNA is filed under the name Homo sapiens (human). Its description in RNAcentral is "HSALNT0342333". The record is from RNAcentral. Lineage: Eukaryota; Metazoa; Chordata; Mammalia; Primates; Hominidae.